ACCAAAUCUUCUUCAGACAGAGCAAAGGUCAGAAUGCCGAGUAGUAUAUGCAAACUACGUACCAAAUCAUCCUUUUCCUUUCUUUAGCGUGCGCAUUUUGGUUGGACAGGCCGUGAUAUUCUGAAUGUUCAACUAUAAAGAUCGGAACACAGGUUUUUCUUCUCUUUCUGCUAGGACAGAUAUAGAUGGAUUAGUUCUUAAAGCAAGUGAUACUGAAAAGAAGUGUUGUGUACGAUCCUCUAAUGUUUAUAACUCCUAGCUCGCAGCAUGUUUCCAAUUCUCGACGAGUAAUGAACUAUUUCCACAUCUUUACAUUCAAUUAAUAAUCCAUCUUGCAUGCGAUAACUCUAUUUCCAUAUUGUUGUCUGAUAGAACUCAAGAGUUGAAGAUGAGGAAAACAAUGAUGGUGAAGAAGAUGAUGAAGACGAUGAUGAAGAUGAUGAUGAAGAGCCCUUUGUUCGUAGAAGAGUUAUUGCAAAGCCCCCCUGCAAAAAGCUCCAAAUCCCAUCAAGAUGAAAUACUAAUUGGUAUGGAUGUGCUUCUAUAUGCAUGGACUGGUCCUGAAACUCCUGUUGCUAAGGCAGCAAUUAUCUCAGUUGUCCAGACAUAAUUGCGGGCUCGGAUCCCCUUGGACCAGCACUUAUGAGGUUGUUGCCAAUGUUGUGAUCAGAAGGGAUGCUACGCUUCCUUAUGAAUAUGAUGGUUUACGAUUUGUCACUGAUGCAGUCACAAGGUCCAUUGCAUGGCCAUCUAGCAAGCCCUACAAGCCAGGGGCAUCUUCAUCAUCUCGCCGCUAAGCACGCGCAAUUUCUCCAUUCUAACUAGGCAUGAAGAAGGCGCCCACCCAUGAGCUAUUAAUCAGAAAGACAAACAAAAGGAGCGGAAGGAACCAUGAAGAUGGCAGUUUGCAACAGCUAGGCAUUUUGUGUAAUGCAGCAAAAACAGCGUCUUUUAGUAUCAUUUUGUAAACCUAUAUGGUGCCUCGUCAUCUGGGUAGUUUGUGUAAUGGAGCAAACAAUGAAUUGGCGGACAUGCAUCUAUCAUUUUGUAAAUCUAUCAGGUGAUUCCGUGACUACAACAUAAAUGUUGGGAUGCUGAUGAGAAUUAAUUAAUGUGUUAUCCUUUUUGGUCCUGAUUUAA
This is a long non-coding RNA of Triticum aestivum (bread wheat), 1140 nucleotides long. RefSeq lists it as uncharacterized. The record is from RefSeq and is a predicted model, not a curated record. NCBI's taxonomy places the organism in Eukaryota, Viridiplantae, Streptophyta, Magnoliopsida, Poales, Poaceae. The transcript has 5 exons.